This 484-nucleotide ribosomal RNA is filed under the name uncultured bacterium. RNAcentral's name for it is "partial 16S ribosomal RNA". It matches the Rfam family "Bacterial small subunit ribosomal RNA", at positions 28 to 507 of the family's 1533-position model. The record is from RNAcentral.
AUUGAACGCUGGCGGCACGCUUUACACAUGCAAGUCGAACGGCAGCGCGGGCUUCGGCCUGGCGGCGAGUGGCGAACGGGUGAGUAAUGCAUCGGAACGUGCCCAGUAGUGGGGGAUAGCCCGGCGAAAGCCGGAUUAAUACCGCAUACGACCUGAGGGUGAAAGCGGGGGACCGAAAGGCCUCGCGCUAUUGGAGCGGCCGAUGUCGGAUUAGCUAGUUGGCGGGGUAAAGGCUUACCAAGGCGACGAUCCGUAGCUGGUCUGAGAGGACGACCAGCCACACUGGGACUGAGACACGGCCCAGACUCCUACGGGAGGCAGCAGUGGGGAAUUUUGGACAAUGGGGGCAACCCUGAUCCAGCCAUGCCGCGUGCGGGAAGAAGGCCUUCGGGUUGUAAACCGCUUUUGUUCGGGAAGAAAUCCUCUGGGCUAAUACCCCGGGGGGAUGACGGUACCGGAAGAAUAAGCACCGGCUAACUACGUG